CCAGCGGAGGGAUCAUU
Molecule: ribosomal RNA, 17 nt
Filed under: Diaporthe eucommiicola
Lineage: Eukaryota; Fungi; Ascomycota; Sordariomycetes; Diaporthales; Diaporthaceae
Also listed under: 10 other names
Description: Phomopsis eucommicola partial 18S ribosomal RNA
Source: RNAcentral